RNAcentral lists this ribosomal RNA (301 nucleotides) under uncultured bacterium. RNAcentral describes it as "partial 16S ribosomal RNA". It matches the Rfam family "Bacterial small subunit ribosomal RNA", at positions 509 to 807 of the family's 1533-position model. The record is from RNAcentral.
CAGUCGCCGCGGUAAUACGGAAGGUUCAGGCGUUAUCCGGAUUUAUUGGGUUUAAAGGGAGCGUAGGCCGGAGAUUAAGUGUGUUGUGAAAUGUAGACGCUCAACGUCUGACUUGCGGCGCAUACUGGUUUCCUUGAGUACGCACAACGUUGGCGGAAUUCGUCGUGUAGCGGUGAAAUGCUUAGAUAUGACGAAGAACUCCGAUUGCGAAGGCAGCUGACGGGAGCGCAACUGACGCUUAAGCUCGAAGGUGCGGGUAUCAAACAGGAUUAGAUACCCCAGUAGUCCCUGUCUCUUAUAC